This 465-nucleotide ribosomal RNA is filed under the name Vreelandella stevensii. Its description in RNAcentral is "partial 16S ribosomal RNA". It matches the Rfam family "Bacterial small subunit ribosomal RNA", at positions 338 to 795 of the family's 1533-position model. The record is from RNAcentral. Lineage: Bacteria; Pseudomonadati; Pseudomonadota; Gammaproteobacteria; Oceanospirillales; Halomonadaceae.
CCUACGGGGGGCUGCAGUGGGGAAUAUUGGACAAUGGGCGAAAGCCUGAUCCAGCCAUGCCGCGUGUGUGAAGAAGGCCUUCGGGUUGUAAAGCACUUUCAGUGGGGAAGAAAGCCUUGGGGCUAAUACCCUCGAGGAAGGACAUCACCCACAGAAGAAGCACCGGCUAACUCCGUGCCAGCAGCCGCGGUAAUACGGAGGGUGCGAGCGUUAAUCGGAAUUACUGGGCGUAAAGCGCGCGUAGGCGGUCUGAUAAGCCGGUUGUGAAAGCCCCGGGCUCAACCUGGGAACGGCAUCCAGAACUGUCAGGCUAGAGUGCAGGAGAGGAAGGUAGAAUUCCCGGUGUAGCGGUGAAAUGCGUAGAGAUCGGGAGGAAUACCAGUGGCGAAGGCGGCCUUCUGGACUGACACUGACGCUGAGGUGCGAAAGCGUGGGUAGCAAACAGGAUUAGAUACCCGAGUAGUC